AUAUUUAAAGGAAUGAAGUUAUCUCCAAUCGAAUCACACGAUGCCGUAGCAAAUUUUUCGAAAACUUCGUUGCAAGUUACUCCACGAAAAGAGAACUCUGAUUGUGACUCAGUACCAUCAGAAUCGUUUGCGUCAGUCCUAAGCGUUCUAUAUUUUUCCAUAACGUUUUGGCGGGUAAGUCCGCGUUAAGUUAUUAAUUGAAGUAUUCGCGUUUCGCGCGUUUGAUUUCGUAAACAAGUUUCUUCUUCCAUUUCCGAGUAUCAUUUUUUUUCCAGCACUCAUAAGCUUCAGAAAGAUUUUCAAACAUUCGAUUGAUAUAGUUAUUUAUCCAUGGAUAACUAUGACCUCUCGCAACCUUUUUCUUCAAAAGAGCGUGCCUACCAAUAGUAUAAAACAACAUUUUGUCAAAGCAUGUAAAUUUUUCAUUGACUUCAGAACAGUAGUAUAUUCUAUCAAAACAGCAAUUACGUAGAUCAGAUAGAAAAGUGUCAAUAGGGGAAGGAGGGGCAUGCCCCGGCUAAGCAUAUGUGAUCAUAAACCUCAAAUGAUGCUUAUUUUAAGGUCGUAUUGAGCAUUAGAGAGCAGUUUACUCCCUUGCAUAAGAUACUUCAAGUUUUAGCCCGCCGGAAACCGAAAUUUCCCAUUCAAAUAACCAACUCAAAAAAGUGUUACCUUUUGGGUGCCGGAAAAUUGUAGGAGGCAAAACACCUUUUGAGGUGAAGCAAAACGCCCGCUGGCAUUUUCCGCUUUGACUUGAAACGUGUGUGGAAAUACCUGAGGCCCCAUCGAAGUGAAAUACCAGGAUGCUCCAUCGUACUCUACCCAGCAGCAAAUGAAGGGGUAGGAGGCGCGUGUUUUUUUAAUGGGCAGAUUUUCUUUAGACAAUAAGGCACUACAAUGUUUUGAUUUUAUAUGGAAUUUUGACGUUUCUUGGCCUUGUUGUUUACAAAAUUUAUGUGAGAGUGAAAGAGAAGGAGAGAAUAUCAUGCAGUGCCCUAUAUAAGCCGUUCUUGGGCUAGACCUGCUCAGUUUUUGUUCUAGUUCGCUUGCAUCUAACGAAAACAUCCACAAUAUGAUGGGAUCGCGUGAAGGCGUUUUGCCCCCGGGGGGCGUUAUGCCCGCAGUUCCCCUAUUGAUUUUCUGGUAGUCUCGGGCCCAAAUCAAUUUGAAAUUUGUAUGAAAGUGAAUUGAUGAAAACCCCUCGGCGGUUUUGUACUGGGCGAAGCCGUCAAGCAGUUUCCCAGCUGUCAAAAGGUGAUAUCAAAUAAUCUCUUUGAAAUUGAUUUUAGGUAUCAAAAUAAAGUUCGGAAAUACGCACCCUCGGGGCAAAACGCCCUCACACUAUAGACAAAAGAUAGGGACAGGCAAAAUUUUCACUUUACAAAAAAUAUUCGACUUGCUGUAACUUGUCGAAAAGUACACUUAAUAUUCUAAAAUUUUCACUGUAAGUUGAUCAACUGUUGUGUAUCAGUGAUCCAAAUUUGGAAAAGCGGGUUACUCUGCACGAAGUUAGAAAGAUUCUUGAAAAGGAAUGAUUACCGAAAGCGAACUUUGAGCUGUUAUAUCUCCGGAUUCAAUGAACCGAAUGCAAUGCAAUCCGGAUUCAAUGAACCGAAUGCAAUGAAAUUUUGAGGCCUUAGUGGCAUCAAAUAUAUUGUUGAAAGUCUUAUACUCCAAUUCUGAAAUGAAUAAAUUGAAAUGCGCCUACUAGAGAUGGUCAGGUUUCCCCGGAUAAAAAAUGACCAUUCAUUGCAUGGUAAAUAUUAUUAAUGUAUGACUGGUUUUAUUGUUCACAAUCAAACACACAGUAGAUAUAUGGUUACUUUUACAAUAGAAAUCAAGCCGAUAUAGUUCGUACAAUAAGUGAACAUUAGCUUUAUUAGUGACUAAUUAAUUCGAUUGUUUUUCAAUCGUUCUUUAACAAUUCAAAGUACAUAACUAUUAGUAAAAAAUAAAUUAAGUUGUUUUUAUACAGUUGGAAAAGUGCCUGCAAAGUUCUCAUGGACUUUUUUUUUAUUAAAAAAGAGUUUAUUUCUUAACCCUUCAGCGCACGCGCGCGCUGUUGUAAAAAGUACAACACCACCAAAAAACCUCGCUUUUCGUAUACAGCGCGAGCGCGGUGCAGUUUCGGUUGCUUGAUGGCGCGCGUCCUGGAAGGUUAAUUGUGUGGCUUCGUGGUCGUGCGGCUAAGGUCACCAAGCCUUUAGACGCAUCGUGCUAAGGAGCGCGGGUUCGAUUCCCGCCGCAGCUGUCAGGAAAAGUUUUCGGCUGUGCCACUGGGCGUUGCAUGCUAGUCCGUUGUCUAGUGUCGUGUUUCCUUCAAAGAGCAAAUAGCUCACUGGAAGCAUUAAACGUGUCCGUUUCUUUAAUUACACUUAAAAACAAUUCGUCACAAAUAAAUAACAAUACAUAUUAUUGUUACUUGGAUCAUGUUAUUUUACUCUGUAUAAUCAAAUACAAAAUCACUUGACAUAUUUUUUUUUAAUUUUCGUUUUGAAUUUGAGUACAGUAUAUGUUGGCAGAGGAGGCUGUCAAUUAAUAACUGAGGAAGUACUUAGCGAACACUUGCUGUAAAACAGGUUUAUCCAAGUGAGGACGUUACGAGAAGAAAAAUAUGAACAAUGAUUUUUCUGUUGUUUUCCAAUAAAUUAAAUGAAUCUAGUAAACAGAAACUACCCUUGAUAACAAUACAACUACAAUUAGUUUAAUGGGUUCUAUUGAACCGAUGUUAAAAUAAACAUGCAAUAAUAUUUAUUGUUAUUACGCACUUCACACCUCACUGGACCCCUUUCGCAGUUAGUAUAAGUGCGGGAUCGUGAAUAAAACUGCGAUUUGGCAUCGAAUCGUGUUGCUGUUGUCUGCGCACUUAUGCAUUACAAGAUGCUGAAUAAGUGCGCAGAAGACACCGACACGAUUCAAUGCAAAAUCGCAGUUUUAUUCACGAUUCCGCACUUAUACUAACUGCGAAGGGGUCCAGUGGGGUGGGAAAUGCGCAAUAUGUUAACAGAUUUCGCCUUUGAAAAACCAUAGAAUUCAUAUUUCUCAGUAACAUUCUUCUCCAGCAUUUACACAUGGCCUUAUAAAUUGUGAACGAUUUAUGGCAUGGAUCAUAUGACCUGAGGUCUGACUUGUGAUAUUUGGCAGUUAUUUGAAAAGAUUGAUGAUAGAUCUUAUCAACAGAUGCCAAGCAAUACAUACCAGACAUCAGAGUGUUUGAUUCUUAUCAUAAAGUGUGCAUAUCAUUCUGGCGGCCUUUAGUACUCGUAAAUGC
Aedes albopictus (Asian tiger mosquito) is the source of this 3271-nucleotide long non-coding RNA. RefSeq lists it as uncharacterized. Lineage: Eukaryota; Metazoa; Arthropoda; Insecta; Diptera; Culicidae. The record is from RefSeq and is a predicted model, not a curated record. The transcript has 2 exons.